This is an unclassified non-coding RNA of Pelusios castaneus (West African mud turtle), 293 nucleotides long. It matches the Rfam family "Metazoan signal recognition particle RNA". Rfam says of the family: The signal recognition particle (SRP) is a universally conserved ribonucleoprotein. It is involved in the co-translational targeting of proteins to membranes. The eukaryotic SRP consists of a 300-nucleotide 7S RNA and six proteins: SRPs 72, 68, 54, 19, 14, and 9. The record is from Ensembl. NCBI's taxonomy places the organism in Eukaryota, Metazoa, Chordata, Testudines, Pelomedusidae.
ACCGGGCACAGUGGCUUGUGCUUGUAAUCCCUGCUCCUGGGAAGGCUGAGGCUGGUGGAUCACUUGGGCUCAGGAGAUCUGGGCUGCAGUGCGCUAUGCCGGUCGGGUGUCCGCACUAAGUUCACCAUCAACAUGGUGAUCCCUGGGGAGUUUGGGGUCCCCAACUUGCCUAAGGAGGAGUGAACUGGCCCAGGCUGGAAACAGAGCAGGACAAAGCUCCCGUGCUGAUCGGUAGUGCGAUCGCACCAGCUGCUGUAGUGUAGCCUGGGCAAGCCAGUGAGACACAGUCUCCU